This 465-nucleotide ribosomal RNA is filed under the name uncultured bacterium. Its description in RNAcentral is "partial 16S ribosomal RNA". It matches the Rfam family "Bacterial small subunit ribosomal RNA", at positions 28 to 507 of the family's 1533-position model. The record is from RNAcentral.
GACGAACGCUGGCGGCGUGCUUAACACAUGCAAGUCGAACGGAAAGGCCCCUUCGGGGGUACUCGAGUGGCGAACAGGUGAGUAACACGUGAGUAACCUGCCCUUGACUUCGGGAUAACUUCAGGAAACUGGGGCUAAUACCGGAUAGGAAUCCUUGCUGCAUGGUGGGGGUUGGAAAGCUUCGGCGGUUUUGGAUGGACUCGCGGCUUAUCAGCUUGUUGGUGGGGUAGUGGCUUACCAAGGCUUUGACGGGUAGCCGGCCUGAGAGGGCGACCGGCCACAUUGGGACUGAGAUACGGCCCAGACUCCUACGGGAGGCAGCAGUGGGGAAUAUUGCACAAUGGGCGGAAGCCUGAUGCAGCAACGCCGCGGGCGGGAUGACGGCCCUCGGGUUGUAAACCGCUUUCAGCAGGGGCGAAGCUUGUGGUGACGGUACCUGCAGAAGAAGCACCGGCUAACUACGUG